UGCCAGCAGCCGCGGUAAUACGGAGGGUCCGAGCGUUAUCCGGAAUCAUUGGGUUUAAAGGGUCCGUAGGCGGGCAGCUCAGUCAGUGGUGAAAGUCUGUGGCUCGACCAUAGAAUUGCCAUUGAUACUGGUUGUCUUGAAUCAAUGUGAAGUGGUUAGAAUAAGUAGUGUAGCGGUGAAAUGCAUAGAUAUUACUUAGAAUACCGAUUGCGAAGGCAGAUCACUAACAUUGUAUUGACGCUGAGGGACGAAAGCGUGGGGAGCGAACAGGAUUAGAUA
This 279-nucleotide ribosomal RNA is filed under the name uncultured bacterium. RNAcentral's name for it is "partial 16S ribosomal RNA". It matches the Rfam family "Bacterial small subunit ribosomal RNA", at positions 506 to 784 of the family's 1533-position model. The record is from RNAcentral.